Small nuclear RNA from Echinops telfairi (small Madagascar hedgehog), 105 nucleotides. Lineage: Eukaryota; Metazoa; Chordata; Mammalia; Afrosoricida; Tenrecidae. The record is from RefSeq and is a predicted model, not a curated record.
GCUUGCUUGGAUAACACGUUUACUAAAAUUGGAACGAAACAGAGAAAAUUAGCAUAGCCCCUAAGCAAGGAUGACAUGAAAAUUUGUGAAGCUUUCCAGAUGAAA